GACGGGGGGGGGCAAGUGUUCUUCGGAAUGACUGGGGCGUAAAGGGCACGUAGGCGGUGAAUCGGGUUGAAAGUGAAAGUCGCCAAAAAGUGGCGGAAUGCUCUCGAAACCAAUUCACUUGAGUGAGACAGAGGAGAGUGGAAUUUCGUGUGUAGGGGUGAAAUCCGUAAAUAUACGAAGGAACGCCAAAAGCGAAGGCAGCUCUCUGGGUCCCUACCGACGCUGGGGUGCGAAAGCAUGGGGGAGCGAACAGG
Molecule: ribosomal RNA, 254 nt
Filed under: uncultured bacterium
Lineage: Bacteria
Description: partial 16S ribosomal RNA
Rfam family: Bacterial small subunit ribosomal RNA
Source: RNAcentral